AACGAACGCUGGCGGCGUGCUUAACACAUGCAAGUCGAACGAGAAAGUUCCUUCGGGGACGAUUAGAGUGGCGCACGGGUGAGUAAUACAUAGGAACGUACCAUUUAGUGGGGAAUAACCACGGGAAACUGUGGCUAAUACCGCAUAAUAUCGCAAGAUUAAAGGAGGCCUCUGCUUGCAUGCUUUCGCUGAAUGAUCGGCCUAUGUCCCAUUAGCUUGUUGGUAGGGUAAUGGCCUACCAAGGCAGUGAUGGGUAGCUGGUCUGAGAGGAUGAUCAGCCACACUGGGACUGAGACACGGCCCAGACUCCUACGGGAGGCAGCAGUGGGGAAUCUUGCACAAUGGGCGAAAGCCUGAUGCAGCAACGCCGCGUGAGUGAAGAAGGCCCCUUUGGGUUUGUAAAAGCUCUUUCAGAUAGGAAGAAGGGUGCAGCGGUUAAUACCCGCAGCAUUUGACGGUACUGUCAGAAGAAGCACCGGC
Molecule: ribosomal RNA, 480 nt
Filed under: uncultured bacterium
Lineage: Bacteria
Description: bacterial SSU rRNA
Rfam family: Bacterial small subunit ribosomal RNA
Source: RNAcentral